Molecule: ribosomal RNA, 474 nt
Filed under: uncultured bacterium
Lineage: Bacteria
Description: bacterial SSU rRNA
Rfam family: Bacterial small subunit ribosomal RNA
Source: RNAcentral
AGAGUUUGAUCAUGGCUCAGAACGAACGCUGGCGGCGUGCCUAACACAUGCAAGUCGAACGAAGGUAGCAAUACCUUAGUGGCGCACGGGUGAGUAACGCGUGGGAAUCUGCCCAAUAGUGGGGGAUAACAGUUGGAAACGACUGCUAAUACCGCAUACGCCCGAGAGGGGAAAGAUUUAUCGCUAUUGGAUGAGCCCGCGUGAGAUUAGGUAGUUGGUGGGGUAAUGGCCUACCAAGCCUACGAUCUCUAGCUGGUCUGAGAGGACGAUCAGCCACACUGGGACUGAGACACGGCCCAGACUCCUACGGGAGGCAGCAGUGGGGAAUUUUGGACAAUGGGCGAAAGCCUGAUCCAGCGACGCCGCGUGGACGAUGAAGGCCUUCGGGUUGUAAAGUCCUUUUGGCAGAGAAGAUAAUGACGGUACCUGCAGAAUAAGCCCCGGCUAACUCUGUGCCAGCAGCCGCGGUAAUUC